GAAUUGGAAAAAAGCUCAGCGGCUAGAUGUGCCAAGCUUAUAGAGACAUAACCCAAGAGACUUGCAGCUGUAAUUGCUGCAAAAGGUGGCUCUACAAAGUAUGGACUUUGCAGCAGUGUGUGUGAUGAGGACUAACAGCUGCCAGUCUGACAGCAGUGGCUUCCUGGAAGAGCCCUUCAUCCCUUCCAUUACCCAGCAUCCCUCACCUGGACCCGAGCUCAUGAAGGCUUUGUCGGGAAUAUUUGGAGGCAGCACUGACAGCCAGAUCACUGUAAAAGGAGCUUCACCCCCCUCGUCCCCCCCAUCCACUUCCCUGGACCCUUCCCCUCCUUCCCUCUCCAUGUGCCACCCAAGACCCGAGUCUCCUCUAUACAGACCAGAGACAACAAGCCCUACAGAGGAGACACCCAGACACCAGGAUUCCCCCACACCCCACUCCCUCUCUGAUGCCUUGGAGAUGACUAACUCUGCUUUUGGAGCCAGGCCAAGCCUAAUGGAAAACACUGUCACUGAGGAAGAUGGAUUCUCUUCGGCCUGCGGUUCACCUUGUCAUAAGCCAGACUCUCCGUUACGGCACGUUAUUAUUAUCAUGAAAACAGAUAGAGAAACAGAACACUUUACUGUGGAAUCAGAGGAAGCUGUUCCAAUAGGAGGAGAGGAAAAGGACAUAGCGGAACAAAGUGGCAAUGUUCAGACAGGAACAGAGGCUGUUGGUGAUCAGGACACCGAUUGUUAUGGGUCACAUGAAGGCUCUCGGAUGAACUCGGUAGCUCUGGUGCAGAUGAAGAAAGAGACAGAGAUGAAGACGAAAGUACAGAUUAGUUCUGGUUUGGAAGGUCCAGUGUUGGGUCCUGUUGCUGUUCCUGAGGUGGUGAAUCAAGGCUCUGAGACUGGAUCUGUUUGUCAGGACCGGUACUCUGAAGAUCCUCUAUUAGGAUCUGACCCUAACUUCUCAGCAGAGCCUCUCCCUGCCUCCUCUCUCCCCCCAGCAGAGCCUCUCCCUGCCUCCUCUCUCCCCCCAGCAGAGCCUCUCUCUGCCUCCCUCCCCCCAGUGCACUGGGAAACAGGUGGCUCAAAGAUUUCAGAGGGAUCCUCAAGCUUGGUUGUCCAAGAGCCUGUCCCACCACUAUAUCAACCAGCAGACCCAUCGACAGACCCACCUCCAGGCCCAGCUUUAACCUCACCUUCAGAGCAAGUGUCACCUCCAUCCCCACCACCAUCUCCAUCCCCAGCCUCGUGGCCACACCAACCUCCAGCCUCAGCUUUUCCGGCAGCAUCCAGCUCAUCUCCAACCCAAGCCCAUUCCCCAAUCCCAAACCAUUCUCUAUCAGCCCUAACCACAACACCAACCCCAUCCUCAAUUCCAAACUCGCCAUCAGCCCAUUCCUUAACCGUAGCUCCAUCUCAAGCCCCAACUCCACUCGUCCCCCACAGUGGUGCUUUCAGGUCAGGCCGGUCUGUGUCUGUCCAGAUGCCCUCCUCCCUGCCCUCUGUCUCCCACUCUGCCCUCCGGAGAGGUGGCGUCCCCCACACCCCCUCCCCGCUCGGCCCUUCCUUCGAGCCCCGCCCCCUGACUGACCUGACGCUCCGGCAGAGGCGGAACUCCUUCUCCAGGAAGGCGUGGUCAGAUGCUGAUGUCUCCCACUUUGCAGAACACAGAAACACUGCGGUUGCCAUGGGAAAGGCAGUCAUGACACCUGAGAUGAUAUCCCUCCUGUCCCCCGUCCCCUCCCUGUCAUCGUCCAAUCGGUGGCUGUCUCGCGACGGUUCACGAAGAUCCGGAAGUUUCCAGAUGAAGUCCACCUCCUUGGACACGGGGCUGUGGCAGGAGGAAGAGGGGGAUGAAGUGGGGGAUGAGGAUAGACGGUGGGAACGAGCCCUGUUCUCUGGGCUUUCCUGCUGCUGCUCCUGUGAUAACCGCUGUAGCUGCUGUUCUCAGAACAAUCACCUCAAACCAUCCUCCGUUUCAGCUUUCCCUUAUUCCCUGGAUGAGCUGGAGGGGAUGAUGCACUGUAUGAGGAAGUUCCGCUGCGUCCUGACAGACAUCGAGGAACAGCUGUCAGAAGACCAGGCCUCGGUGUACAGCUCACUCUCUGACACUGACAGAGAUGAAGUGCGAGACAUCUUGGAGCUGAGGAAAGCUGUGAAACAGGAAGCAGGAGAGUUGGAACUGCAGCUCACUGACCUGGUUCAUCGCUAUGACGACAGCUUCAAAAUGAAGAUGCACAGACUACUCGAUGAACAAUCUCACCUCUACACCCAGCUAAGGCUCCUCCCCCUGAUCCCCAAGACCACCCCUGGCUCCGCCUCCUCUAGGAGCAUGGCCACUCAGUGCUGCCUGCUGCCCUGGCUGCCUUUGACGGACAUGUCCAGGCCACACCCCUCACCGCAGGCCACCUGGGAUUUGGAGUCCAGAUCAGCUCUGCCAGAUUCCAGUUCUAUGGGCCAGAGACUAAACCAUGGUUCUACCGGCACCAAGCCAGACAAACUGGACAUUGUGGGUUUCAUCCAGAGACUGAAGGAGUCCAUACGCCACUCUGUCAAUACUGACUCACUGGAGUAAAAGAGAGAUGCUGCUUCUGCUGUAGCUAACUGAAAAUGAUCUGCUGUCUAAGUUAUAGUGUGUCCAAUCAACCUGGACUCGGGUAGAUGUAACAUAAUAAACGUAAAUCUGUCUCCCUCCAGUUAGUAUGAUAUGUUAGGUGUGGUAAGGUAUGUAUUUCUUUGUGGAUGUCCAUCAUCCAUUUCUUAUGUUAUAAAUAACAAUUCAUAUGAUAUGUUACGAAUUGCAAUUUGUACAAUAUGUUACGAAUUUGCGAUUAAGUAUGAUAUGUCACAAAUUCCAGUUUGAUGUGGCUAACCCUAACAUUAAAGUAGCUAACGUUAACUAGGCUAAGGGUUAGCUAACAUGCUAAGUAGGUGCAAAAAGUAGUACGUUUCAAAAUAGCUAAUUAGCCUAAAUGCUCAAGUUGUCCGUGAUGAGAUCGGAAGACGCAACCUUAGAGGUGCUAGAAGUUUGCAUUAUAUGCCCACCUAUCCACCCCGACCCACCACCCUCCUUUUGUUUUUGCCUUAUGUAACCUUACCAAACAUACCAUAUCAUAUUCAUUUGAGUGUCCUGGAUUUACGUUGACUAUGUCUAGUCUAUGAAACCAGGCUGGUGUAAUCAAUGGAUUCUAUUACUACUAAAGUAGUCCAGUGUCCACAUAAUGAAUAAAGAGCACGAAUGCAUGAAAUCAUGUGUGCUUGUUCUAUAACGUGCCGAUCCAAUGCAUAACAUACUGUCCAAAGAGUUUAUUUGUGUGUAUUGUCAUUCCCUACGUAUCAACAACAGCAUUCGUCUCAACUAAGGAUGUGUUCUUAUUGUAACAUGAAGUCUCCUACUGUUACCUACCUGCAUCAAUGCUCUGGGUAAGACAGUUCCCCAUCCACAUGAGAUCCAUGCAGUAUGUGUAUGCUAUAGAGAGGAGCUCCUAUGUGUCACCCUCCUGUUCUGGGUUAUGUCCUUAUUAGCACAAGAGGUGGUCUUGCUCACGUCUCCUGCCUCUUCAGACCCCAAUUAGCAGCUGGGUAGUAACAUUCCAGCCUGUGAGCCUGAUGCAUUUCAUGACUCCCUCUACUGGUGCUCCCAACUAAAAUGUAAGAGCACCACAUGCCAUUUAGGAACACCAGAAAAUAAGAUUUAAAAAAAAUGUUUUAUUGCAAUACAGCCUACGGUAUAUAGAGCCCCACAGUGGAAGUGUCAUAAUACCCAUAAACCUAACGGUCAAACAGGGAGUCACCUUGUCCUUGACAGAUUUAGAUUGUUAUCAAAACGCCACGCCAGGGUAAGCCUACACAACACAGCUCUUAUUUUAAGUGUUUGUAAAAUCCCCUAUGGGAAAAAUGAAUGAAUG
RNAcentral lists this long non-coding RNA (3896 nucleotides) under Salmo salar (Atlantic salmon). Its description in RNAcentral is "lncRNA (ENSSSAG00000108864.1)". The record is from RNAcentral. Lineage: Eukaryota; Metazoa; Chordata; Actinopteri; Salmoniformes; Salmonidae.